Molecule: ribosomal RNA, 750 nt
Filed under: Aspergillus nomiae
Lineage: Eukaryota; Fungi; Ascomycota; Eurotiomycetes; Eurotiales; Aspergillaceae
Description: SSU rRNA
Rfam family: Eukaryotic small subunit ribosomal RNA
Source: RNAcentral
AUAAGCAAUUUAUACGGUGAAACUGGCGAAUGGCUCAUUAAAUCAGGUUAUCGUUUAUUUGAUAGUACCUUACUACAUGGAUACCUGUGGUAAUUCUAGAGCUAAUACAUGCUAAAAACCUCGACUUCGGAAGGGGUGUAUUUAUUAGAUAAAAAACCAAUGCCCUUCGGGGCUCCUUGGUGAAUCAUAAUAACUUAACGAAUCGCAUGGCCUUGCGCCGGCGAUGGUUCAUUCAAAUUUCUGCCCUAUCAACUUUCGAUGGUAGGAUAGUGGCCUACCAUGGUGGCAACGGGUAACGGGGAAUUAGGGUUCGAUUCCGGAGAGGGAGCCUGAGAAACGGCUACCACAUCCAAGGAAGGCAGCAGGCGCGCAAAUUACCCAAUCCCGACACGGGGAGGUAGUGACAAUAAAUACUGAUACGGGGCUCUUUUGGGUCUCGUAAUUGGAAUGAGUACAAUUUAAAUCCCUUAACGAGGAACAAUUGGAGGGCAAGUCUGGUGCCAGCAGCCGCGGUAAUUCCAGCUCCAAUAGCGUAUAUUAAAGUUGUUGCAGUUAAAAAGCUCGUAGUUGAACCUUGGGUCUGGCUGGCCGGUCCGCCUCACCGCGAGUACUGGUCCGGCUGGACCUUUCCUUCUGGGGAACCCCAUGGCCUUCACUGGCUGUGGGGGGAACCAGGACUUUUACUGUGAAAAAAAUUAGAGUGUUCAAAGCAGGCCUUUGCUCGAAUACAUUAGCAUGGAAUAAUAGAAU